ACAGACCGGGGGCCCUCCUUGGGGGCUGGCUCCCCACGCCCUUCCUCCCUCCGACCUUCGGGGAAGCCACUUACGCUCUCUGAGCUUGGGUUUUCUUCAUUGAUUUAAUGGGAGGACAUUAUCCACGGCCCCAACUUAGGAACAUCAAUGAGGAAACGAAACAAUGUUCUUUGGGAAAGAAAAGAAGCCAGGGGACCAAGGGGGAAACCGAGGCACAGGGUGUUCCACAGAAGUUGAGAACUGACGGACACGCCACACUGGAGCGAGGCAGGGCCUCCGGCAUCCGGGUGUGCAUUCGUCCUGAGUUUCCGGGGUCAGUGUCAGUGAGGAGAGAGGUCGCCUACUGUGUCUCCCGGCCCCGGCCCAGCCCCCUGGGGAAGAGAAGGGCCUGGAAGAGAAGCUGUCGCCGGGAGGUGGUGGAAGAGAGGCCAGCAGGGAGGGGCCGGAACCCUCCACUGCCCACCAGGACCUCAGACCUUGCUGAAUCUCGGUGGCUUGCUCCAGAGGCCAAAGCCCUUGACAACAAACCCAUCCGCACCUUCCAGCCCAAGUUCGAGCCUAGAGGCACGGGUCCAGCAGCGACUGUCCAUUCACCGAGCCAGGCACCGAGCUGACUGCUUUCGUAUGUGACCCCACUGAAUACUCACAUCCACCUUGCAGGUUACUUUUUACAGAUGAAGAAACUGAGGCUUAGAGAGGGCUCAGCUCAAAUGCCACCUAGUUCCAGAAGUCUCCCUGGUUGAAGCUCAACCGCGGACGCAACAAGCAUUUAUUUAAUAUUUACUGCUGCUUAGGGUCCCUGUCACUCCUGCUGGGUGGAGGUCCCUGGAGGAGAGAAGCCAGAACUGAAGUGUCCCCAGGAAUGUGAGUGAUCCUGGGAAACAGGAGAGGACCCGCCAGAGCGGAAACGCACCCCACAUGUCUCCAUGGAGCAGGGCACUCCUGUCGGUCCCCGGA
Long non-coding RNA from Eptesicus fuscus (big brown bat), 957 nucleotides. RefSeq lists it as uncharacterized. The record is from RefSeq and is a predicted model, not a curated record. Lineage: Eukaryota; Metazoa; Chordata; Mammalia; Chiroptera; Vespertilionidae. The transcript has 5 exons.